AACGAACGCUGGCGGCAUGCCUAACACAUGCAAGUCGAACGAGACCUUCGGGGCUAGUGGCGCACGGGUGCGUAACGCGUGGGAACCUUCCCUUAGGUUCGGAAUAACUCCCCGAAAGGGGUGCUAAUACCGGAUAAUGUCUUCGGACCAAAGAUUUAUCGCCUUUGGAUGGGCCCGCGUUGGAUUAGCUAGUUGGUAGGGUAAAAGCCUACCAAGGCGACGAUCCAUAGCUGGUCUGAGAGGAUGAUCAGACACACUGGGACUGAGACACGGCCCAGACUCCUACGGGAGGCAGCAGUGGGGAAUAUUGGAAAAUGGGGGAAAGCCUGAUCCAGCAAUGGCGCGUGAGUGAUGAAGGCCUUAGGGUUGUAAAGCUCUUUUACCCGGGAUGAUAAUGACAGUACCGGGAGAAUAAGCUCCGGCUAACUCCGUG
Molecule: ribosomal RNA, 433 nt
Filed under: uncultured bacterium
Lineage: Bacteria
Description: partial 16S ribosomal RNA
Rfam family: Bacterial small subunit ribosomal RNA
Source: RNAcentral